CUCACACUAAUAGACAGUGCUAUUCAGACCAGCUAACAUCCGCAUCCAGUAUUUAGUGGCAGUUUUCAUAGCCCCAUCACACUGUUUGUGUCUAAUACAUGCAUCGCUUGAGGUAGAUUGGGAAGUGGAACUGGCCUUCGUGAUCGGACGGAGAGGAAAGCACAUCAAGGAAGAAGAGGCCCUCUCCUACGUGGCGGGCUUCACAGUCGCCAAUGACGUCAGCGCGCGCGACUGGCAGAUGAAACGCAAUGGAAAG
Molecule: long non-coding RNA, 256 nt
Organism: Corythoichthys intestinalis (scribbled pipefish)
Lineage: Eukaryota; Metazoa; Chordata; Actinopteri; Syngnathiformes; Syngnathidae
Exons: 3
Source: RefSeq, a predicted model, not a curated record